CUCACGUAUCCUGUUCUGUGCGUUUCUGGAAUUAAAUAUUUUCUGAUUCACCCUGAGGAUUUUGCUCCCUGGGAACAGACCAGAUGGGCUCUCAGAGAUCUUGAAGUCAUGGGAAUAAUUCCUAAAGCUAAUGAGACUUAUGAAAUGCAAAGGUUCUAUGAAGGCCUUCCAGGAGAAACAGGUGAAAUACCUGGGGCACUGCUAUGGCCAGGCUGAGUUGUUCCAGCUCAACUGAACCCAACAAAGCCUCCACUGCCUGACUGCAGAACACAGCCUUUGAUUGCUCAUGCAGAAAGGUGGCUUGUGAUGAUUGGAACACUCUGAUAUCUGGUAAGUCAAGUAUUUUUACAAAUAAAAUUCUAUGUGCGGCAGGGACACCUAGAGAACCACUCUGGGCCUCUGCCAUCAUCUUUGUGAGCACAGAAAAUCACACAAUUAGAUUGUAAUUAUUAGAUACUGACAUUCACUUGGCUCAAGAUACAUUUUUUUGUUAUUUAGUGUCAAUUUAAAUUUUAGGAUGAAGGCAGGACUUAGAUCAAAGGAAGAAAUUAUCUGAAUCAGAACAUCACUCUGAGGUGAUACAGGCACCACAGAUAACCAGCUUGGG
Molecule: long non-coding RNA, 607 nt
Filed under: Taeniopygia guttata (zebra finch)
Lineage: Eukaryota; Metazoa; Chordata; Aves; Passeriformes; Estrildidae
Description: lncRNA (ENSTGUG00000028985.1)
Source: RNAcentral